This 454-nucleotide ribosomal RNA is filed under the name uncultured organism. RNAcentral describes it as "partial 16S ribosomal RNA". It matches the Rfam family "Bacterial small subunit ribosomal RNA", at positions 329 to 799 of the family's 1533-position model. The record is from RNAcentral.
ACGUACACUCCUACGGGAGGCAGCAGUGGGGAAUAUUGGACAAUGGGCGCAAGCCUGAUCCAGCCAUGCCGCGUGAGUGAUGAAGGCCCUAGGGUUGUAAAGCUCUUUCACCGGUGAAGAUAAUGACGGUAACCGGAGAAGAAGCCCCGGCUAACUUCGUGCCAGCAGCCGCGGUAAUACGAAGGGGGCUAGCGUUGUUCGGAUUUACUGGGCGUAAAGCGCACGUAGGCGGACUAUUAAGUCAGGGGUGAAAUCCCGGGGCUCAACCCCGGAACUGCCUUUGAUACUGGUAGUCUUGAGUUCGAGAGAGGUGAGUGGAAUUCCGGGUGUAGAGGUGAAAUUCGUAGAUAUUCGGAGGAACACCAGUGGCGAAGGCGGCUCACUGGCUCGAUACUGACGCUGAGGUGCGAAAGCGUGGGGAGCAAACAGGAUUAGAAACCCGGGUAGUCCCAUG